ACGGAGUUAGCCGAUGCUUAUUCCUCAGGUACCGUCAAAAUUCUUCCCUGAGAAAAGAGGUUUACAAUCCAAGAACCUUCCUCCCUCACGCGGUAUUGCUCCGUCAGGCUUUCGCCCAUUGCGGAAAAUUCCC
This 133-nucleotide ribosomal RNA is filed under the name uncultured bacterium. Its description in RNAcentral is "partial 16S ribosomal RNA". The record is from RNAcentral.